AUUGAACGCUGGCGGCAGGCCUAACACAUGCAAGUCGAGCGGAUGAAGGGAGCUUGCUCCUGGAUUCAGCGGCGGACGGGUGAGUAAUGCCUAGGAAUCUGCCUGGUAGUGGGGGAUAACGUCCGGAAACGGGCGCUAAUACCGCAUACGUCCUGAGGGAGAAAGUGGGGGAUCUUCGGACCUCACGCUAUCAGAUGAGCCUAGGUCGGAUUAGCUAGUUGGUGGGGUAAAGGCCUACCAAGGCGACGAUCCGUAACUGGUCUGAGAGGAUGAUCAGUCACACUGGAACUGAGACACGGUCCAGACUCCUACGGGAGGCAGCAGUGGGGAAUAUUGGACAAUGGGCGAAAGCCUGAUCCAGCCAUGCCGCGUGUGUGAAGAAGGUCUUCGGAUUGUAAAGCACUUUAAGUUGGGAGGAAGGGCAGUAAGCUAAUACCUUGCUGUUUUGACGUUACCAACAGAAUAAGCACCGGCUAACUUCGU
RNAcentral lists this ribosomal RNA (483 nucleotides) under uncultured bacterium. RNAcentral's name for it is "partial 16S ribosomal RNA". It matches the Rfam family "Bacterial small subunit ribosomal RNA", at positions 30 to 506 of the family's 1533-position model. The record is from RNAcentral.